Molecule: RNase P RNA, 323 nt
Filed under: Pseudomonadota bacterium
Lineage: Bacteria; Pseudomonadati; Pseudomonadota
Also listed under: 1 other name
Description: RNase P RNA component class A
Rfam family: Bacterial RNase P class A
About the family: Ribonuclease P (RNase P) is a ubiquitous endoribonuclease, found in archaea, bacteria and eukarya as well as chloroplasts and mitochondria. Its best characterised activity is the generation of mature 5'-ends of tRNAs by cleaving the 5'-leader elements of precursor-tRNAs.
Source: RNAcentral
GCGUAGGGUGGGGAGGAGUCGCCCUUCGGGGAGGAACUUCCGGAUACUUGUAGUGCUUCUGCUGGUUAAGAGCCAGUAUUAGGGGUUAACCACAGAAACUAGACCGCCGGCUUAGCCGGUAAGGGUGAAAGGGUGGGGUAAGAGCCCACCGGCCUAAUCGUAAGAUUAGGUGCUGGUUGCCCCCAGAAGUACAACUUUAAGCAGUGGCAGUAGGUAGCACUACACUUAUGCCACGGGUAAAAGGCAAAAUCCCCUAUGUAAGUAGGGGAUAAAGAUAGAUGACUCCUAAAAAACAGAAUCCGGGGUACUCACCCUACGCUAUA